AGCGAACGCUGGCGGCAGGCUUAACACAUGCAAGUCGAACGGUCCUUCGGGAUAGUGGCGGACGGGUGAGUAACACGUGGGAACGUACCCUUAGGUUCGGAACAACACAGGGAAACUUGUGCUAAUACCGGAUAAGCCCUUCGGGGGAAAGAUUUAUAGCCUUUGGAGCGGCCCGCGUCUGAUUAGCUUGUUGGUGAGGUAAUGGCUCACCAAGGCUACGAUCAGUAGCUGGUCUGAGAGGAUGGCCAGCCACACUGGGACUGAGACACGGCCCAGACUCCUACGGGAGGCAGCAGUGGGGAAUCUUGCGCAAUGGGCGAAAGCCUGACGCAGCCAUGCCGCGUGGAUGAUGAAGGUCUUAGGAUUGUAAAAUCCUUUCACCGGGGACGAUAAUGACGGUACCCGGAGAAGAAGCCCCGGCUAACUUCGUGCCAGCAGCCGCCGCCG
Molecule: ribosomal RNA, 447 nt
Filed under: uncultured bacterium
Lineage: Bacteria
Description: partial 16S ribosomal RNA
Rfam family: Bacterial small subunit ribosomal RNA
Source: RNAcentral